RNAcentral lists this ribosomal RNA (120 nucleotides) under Fundulus heteroclitus (mummichog). The record is from RNAcentral. Lineage: Eukaryota; Metazoa; Chordata; Actinopteri; Cyprinodontiformes; Fundulidae.
GCUUACAGCCACACUACACUGCACAGCCUGUUCUCGCCUGAUCACAGAGAAACUAAACAGUGUCAGGCCUGGUUAGUACGUGGGUGGGUGACCACCUCGGAAUACCAGGUUCUGUAAGCA